RNAcentral lists this ribosomal RNA (1356 nucleotides) under uncultured marine eukaryote. RNAcentral describes it as "SSU rRNA". It matches the Rfam family "Eukaryotic small subunit ribosomal RNA", at positions 411 to 1779 of the family's 1831-position model. The record is from RNAcentral.
CACUUCUAAGGAAGGCAGCAGGCGCGCAAAUUACCCAAUCCUGACUCAGGGAGGUAGUGACAAGAAAUAACAAUAAACCGGCUUAUGCCGGUUUAAUUGGAAUGAGUACAAUUUAAACAUCUUAACGAGGAACAAUUGGAGGGCAAGUCUGGUGCCAGCAGCCGCGGUAAUUCCAGCUCCAAUAGCGUAUACUAAAGUUGUUGCAGUUAAAAAGCUCGUAGUUGGAUUUCUGUGGGGACGGAGCGGCCGGCCGCAACACGCGGUUCGAGCUAGCGCUUUCCCUACAUCCUGCCGCGAACCGUGCUACCAUUAGUUUGGUGGCGCCGGGGAUCGGCUCGAUUACUUUGAGAAAAAUAGAGUGUUCAAAGCAGGCCACACGCCUUGAAUAAGUUAGCAUGGAAUAAUAACUAAGGACUUCGGUUCUAUUUUGUUGGUGUUCGGGACCGAAGUAAUGAUUGAUAGGGACAGUUGGGGCGGUCUGUAUUCCAAAGCGAGAGGUGAAAUUCUUAGACCUUCGGAAGACAAACAGCUGCGAAAGCGUUCCGCAAGGAUGUUCCCUUUGAUCAAGAACGAAAGUUGGGGGAUCGAAGACGAUCAGAUACCGUCGUAGUCUCAACUAUAAACUAUACCAGCUAGGGAUCGGCCAACGUUAUUCUAUACCGACUUGGUCGGCACCUUAUGAGAAAUCAAAGCAUCUGGGUUCCGGGGGGAGUAUGGUCGCAAGGCUGAAACUUAAAGGAAUUGACGGAAGGGCACCACCAGCCGUGGAGCCUGUGGCUUAAUUUGACUCAACACGGGAAAACUUACCAGGUCCAGACAUAGUAAGGAUUGACAGAUUGAUAGCUCUUUCUUGAUUCUGUGGGUGGUGGUGCAUGGCCGUUCUUAGUUGGUGGAGUGAUUUGUCUGGUUAAUUCCGUUAACGAACGAGACCCCAGCCUGCUAAAUAGCGCGCGUGAGCUUUGCUCGCGGCGAGCUUCUUAGAGGGACUAUGAUGCGCGAUAGCACAUGGAAGUUUGGGGCAAUAACAGGUCUGUGACGCCCUUAGAUGUUCUGGGCCGCACACGGGCUACACUGGCGCCUGCAUCGAGCAUAUCAGCUGGCCCGAGAGGGUCUUGGCUAAUCUUUUGAACCGGCGCCGUGCUUGGGAUUGACCUUUGCAAUUGUUGGUCAUGCAACGAGGAAUGCCUUGUAAACGCGAGUCAUCAGCUCGCAUUGAAUACGUCCCUGCCCUUUGUACACACCGCCCGUCGCUCCUACCGAUGAAUGUUCCGAUGAAAUUUUCGGAGAGUGCCUGUGAACUUGGCUCUGCCUUGCGAACGGGAAGCUCAAAGUCACUUAAAUCUGAACAUUUCGAGG